GGACUCUCACCACCCUGAGACCUGGAAAACAGCCCCUGGGUGGGGCCCUGCAGCCGCACCCACAUUCUUUCCUCUCUUUAACAAUUUGGUAGAAAGGUUUCUAGUUGAAAGAUCCCAUGGGGAAAAACUGGCUCAGAAACCUGAUUGGAGCACCAUUUGGAUACUAUGGAUUGGAUUAGAAUGGGCUUUCAAAGGCUUGGAAUCUCCUGAUCCAGCCUCACUGAGAAAAGGCUUUUGGAGAGCCAGGUAGGAGUUUCAUGGACACUGGACACAGGAAGCAGUGCUGAUAUUUCCAGAGAAAUCUUUCUGGGGCGUGGAGACAGAGAUACUCCAGCUUCAUCCUCCAGUGGGACUCAGAAUAAGAAGUGUUUAGCUGCACUGAGUCAACUGGACUUCAGGAGCUGGUGAGCCAUGGGGUUUGGAAUGCUUCAUUUUGUUCUCUACAGCCAUGAGUGUGCAAAAUUGCUCUGUAAAGGCCUAGAGAGUAAACGGGCAUUAAGCGCCAAUGCAGUCUCUGCCAUUAGCAGAGUGAAAUAGCCUCGGGUACCCACUCCAGUGUUCUUGCCGGGAGAAUCCCAGGGACAGGGGAACCUGGUGGGCUGCUGUCUAUGGGGCCACACAGAGUCGGACACGACUGAAGUGACUUAGCAGCAGCAG
This 657-nucleotide small RNA is filed under the name Bos taurus (domestic cattle). Lineage: Eukaryota; Metazoa; Chordata; Mammalia; Artiodactyla; Bovidae. The record is from RNAcentral.